RNAcentral lists this ribosomal RNA (253 nucleotides) under uncultured bacterium. Its description in RNAcentral is "partial 16S ribosomal RNA". It matches the Rfam family "Bacterial small subunit ribosomal RNA", at positions 524 to 776 of the family's 1533-position model. The record is from RNAcentral.
UACAGAGGGUGCGAGCGUUGUUCGGAAUUAUUGGGCGUAAAGGGCGCGUAGGCGGUGCGGUAAGUCACCUGUGAAAUCUCCUGGCUCAACUGGGAGCUUGCAGGCGAAACUGCCGUGCUGGAGUGUGGGAGAGGUGAGUGGAAUUCCCGGUGUAGCGGUGAAAUUCGUAGAUAUUCGCAGGAACACCAGUGGCGAAGGCGGCUUACUGGUCCAUAACUGACGCUGAGGUGCGAAAGCGUGGGGAGCAAACAGG